CUAUGGCAUUUUCACGUUCUGACGGGGGGUGAACCUAAAAUGUAUUGAUGCUUAUGCUGUACUGGAGUGAGCAAAUGAUAUGAAAUUGCAUGUAUUUGCCACCAAACACAAGGCCAACACAUACAGUGAAAAAUUAAUUCACUCUGAUGACUGUGUCCCGAUUUAGAGUUGACCCCCCAUCAAAUUUAUGACGUCAUAUGAAACACAAUAAUAUACAGUAUAAUAUUACAGCUAAUUGUAGCAGAAAGUAUUUAA
Non-coding RNA from Paramuricea clavata, 255 nucleotides. The record is from the annotation of a GenBank genome assembly. NCBI's taxonomy places the organism in Eukaryota, Metazoa, Cnidaria, Anthozoa, Malacalcyonacea, Plexauridae.